AUUGAACGCUGGCGGAAUGCUUUACACAUGCAAGUCGAACGGCAGCACGGACUUCGGUCUGGUGGCGAGUGGCGAACGGGUGAGUAAUAUAUCGGAACGUGCCCAGUCGUGGGGGAUAACGUAGCGAAAAUUACGCUAAUACCGCAUACGAUCUACGGAUGAAAGCGGGGGAUCGCAAGACCUCGCGCGAUUGGAGCGGCCGAUAUCAGAUUAGGUAGUUGGUGAGGUAAAGGCUCACCAAGCCAACGAUCUGUAGCUGGUCUGAGAGGACGACUAGCCACACUGGAACUGAGACACGGUCCAGACUCCUACGGGAGGCAGCAGUGGGGAAUUUUGGACAAUGGACGCAAGUCUGAUCCAGCCAUUCCGCGUGCAGGACGAAGGCCUUCGGGUUGUAAACUGCUUUUGUACAGAACGAAAAGGUCUCUAUUAAUACUAGGGGCUCAUGACGGUACUGUAAGAAUAAGCACCGGCUAACUACGUGCCAGCCGCCGCAGUAA
This 500-nucleotide ribosomal RNA is filed under the name uncultured bacterium. Its description in RNAcentral is "partial 16S ribosomal RNA". It matches the Rfam family "Bacterial small subunit ribosomal RNA", at positions 30 to 523 of the family's 1533-position model. The record is from RNAcentral.